This 497-nucleotide ribosomal RNA is filed under the name uncultured bacterium. RNAcentral's name for it is "partial 16S ribosomal RNA". It matches the Rfam family "Bacterial small subunit ribosomal RNA", at positions 28 to 507 of the family's 1533-position model. The record is from RNAcentral.
GAUGAACGCUGGCGGCGUGCCUAAUACAUGCAAGUCGAGCGAACAGACGAGGAGCUUGCUCCUUCGACGUUAGCGGCGGACGGGUGAGUAACACGUAGGUAACCUACCUAUAAGACUGGGAUAACUUCGGGAAACCGGAGCUAAUACCGGAUAAUAUUUCGAACCGCAUGGUUCGAUAGUGAAAGAUGGCUUUUCUAUCACUUAUAGAUGGACCUGCGCCGUAUUAGCUAGUUGGUAAGGUAACGGCUUACCAAGGCAACGAUACGUAGCCGACCUGAGAGGGUGAUCGGCCACACUGGAACUGAGACACGGUCCAGACUCCUACGGGAGGCAGCAGUAGGGAAUCUUCCGCAAUGGGCGAAAGCCUGACGGAGCAACGCCGCGUGAGUGAUGAAGGUCUGCGGAUCGGAAAACUCUGUUAUUAGGGAAGAACAAACGUGUAAGUAACUGUGCACGUCUUGACGGUACCUAAUCAGAAAGCCACGGCUAACUACGUG